RNAcentral lists this ribosomal RNA (465 nucleotides) under uncultured bacterium. RNAcentral's name for it is "partial 16S ribosomal RNA". It matches the Rfam family "Bacterial small subunit ribosomal RNA", at positions 28 to 507 of the family's 1533-position model. The record is from RNAcentral.
GACGAACGCUGGCGGCGUGCUUAACACAUGCAAGUCGAACGCUGAACCCGCUUCGGUGGGGGAUGAGUGGCGAACGGGUGAGUAACACGUGGGCAACCUGCCCCCGGCUCUGGGAUAACUCCAAGAAAUUGGGGCUAAUACCGGAUGUGACCGCUGGCCGCAUGGUCUGGUGGUGGAAAGGGUUUCCGGCUGGGGAUGGGCCCGCGGCCUAUCAGCUUGUUGGUGGGGUAGUGGCCUACCAAGGCGACGACGGGCAGCCGGCCUGAGAGGGUGACCGGCCACACUGGGACUGAGACACGGCCCAGACUCCUACGGGAGGCAGCAGUGGGGAAUAUUGCGCAAUGGGCGGAAGCCUGACGCAGCGACGCCGCGUGGGGGAUGACGGCCUUCGGGUUGUAAACCUCUUUCAGCAGGGACGAAGCGCAAGUGACGGUACCUGCAGAAGAAGCACCGGCCAACUACGUG